This 65-nucleotide transfer RNA is filed under the name Eucryptorrhynchus brandti. RNAcentral describes it as "tRNA-His". Lineage: Eukaryota; Metazoa; Arthropoda; Insecta; Coleoptera; Curculionidae. The record is from RNAcentral. RNAcentral also lists the same sequence under 1 other name.
AUUUAAAUAGUUUAAAAGAAAAUUUUAAUUUGUGGAAUUAAGGAUGUAAGAAUUUACUUUAAAUA